This 73-nucleotide transfer RNA is filed under the name Aspergillus terreus. RNAcentral describes it as "tRNA-Asp". It matches the Rfam family "tRNA". Rfam says of the family: Transfer RNA (tRNA) molecules are approximately 80 nucleotides in length. Their secondary structure includes four short double-helical elements and three loops (D, anti-codon, and T loops). Further hydrogen bonds mediate the characteristic L-shaped molecular structure. tRNAs have two regions of fundamental functional importance: the anti-codon, which is responsible for specific mRNA codon recognition, and the 3' end, to which the tRNAs corresponding amino acid is attached (by aminoacyl-tRNA synthetases). tRNAs cope with the degeneracy of the genetic code in two manners: having more than one tRNA (with a specific anti-codon) for a particular amino acid; and 'wobble' base-pairing, i.e. permitting non-standard base-pairing at the 3rd anti-codon position. Lineage: Eukaryota; Fungi; Ascomycota; Eurotiomycetes; Eurotiales; Aspergillaceae. The record is from RNAcentral. RNAcentral also lists the same sequence under 1 other name.
UCCUCGAUGGUCUAACGGUUCAUGAUUUCCGCUUGUCACGCGGGAGACCUGGGUUCGACUCCCAGUCGGGGAG